CUCUGGACGAACAUCAGCGUCAAAAUAUAUCUGAUGAAACAUUUAUAACAAGUUUUGUAUGUUUGAUUGCCACAGCUUCCAAGCUUCCAAGAUGCUCGCCAGCUUUUAUUAAAAAAAACUUGCCAAUGAACAAGACAGUUAUUGGUGAUUGUAUGUGAGGAAGAUGUUCUAUAUCUACUGGUACCGAUUUGACUAUUAACGAUAUUGACAAUACGUGAGGAGAAUGUAACCAAUCAGUAUUAUAAAUACACUAUCGAGUGUUUUACUAUAUCUGAACAUUACAUAACUUAAUAACAGCAAGCGGUACCGGUACGAGCAUUCACGAAUAUUUUAAUGUCUCCAAUUUAAAACAUAAAAGGUACUACACCAAAAUGUUAUUGCCACUUGAGGCGUAUUUUACUGCAGGAAAUUGCAUUUAAUUAUUAUCGUGCAAAUGUGUAUAAAUAGGUGAGUUUUGUUACUCUUGUCAUAGCCUGAACACCUCCUGUCAGCUGUCUUUAGAUACCCUGAACGGACUUCGAAAUCUCACAAGAGACAAAAUGUUUGUCAAAGCAGUCGUCGUUUGCAUGGUGCUGUGCACCGUCAUGAAUGAGGUUCCAGCUGAGAGCUCCGACCCUCCCUGUAUAUGCCCUUUAAUCUACGAUCCAGUCUGUUCCGGAGGCAUAUCUUACGCCAGCGGCUGUAAUGCUGCAUGCAAUGGGGUAUCCUCAUAUACCAUUGGACAAUGCACCCAGAAAUGAGUAGAAGAUUGACGGUGGCUGAAUUGGACCCAUAGUCUCCUUUUGAUGUCCCUAUCUACUUUGUGAUUCCGACAUGACUCCAUAAACUGUGUGCAGACUUUUUACUAUCGCUUUCCGCUUAAUAAUUCUGUGUUAAUUCGUAAUAAAAAUAUACUUCAGUGAU
Pecten maximus is the source of this 903-nucleotide long non-coding RNA. RefSeq lists it as uncharacterized. The transcript has 5 exons. The record is from RefSeq and is a predicted model, not a curated record. NCBI's taxonomy places the organism in Eukaryota, Metazoa, Mollusca, Bivalvia, Pectinida, Pectinidae.